RNAcentral lists this long non-coding RNA (6933 nucleotides) under Carica papaya (papaya). RNAcentral's name for it is "long non-coding RNA (CPAP_LNC002864)". Lineage: Eukaryota; Viridiplantae; Streptophyta; Magnoliopsida; Brassicales; Caricaceae. The record is from RNAcentral.
AAAUUUUUCAACCUUAGUCCGUGAUGAUUGUGAUAAGCAGAGAUGUUCAAUUCCUUGAACGUGAGCAAUGAGACUGGAAUGAGGAAUCUCAAAUCAAACAUCAUAUCUUGCAAUUGGAUCCAGAUGAGUUAGAGGACGAACAAUCUGUAAGGAGAACAAGAUAACUUUCAGAUAUUUAUAAAAAAUGUAAUGUUGCUGUUUUUGAGCAUGCAGGAUAUGAUAAAGCAAAAACAGAUCAAAAAUGGAUAGAUGCAACGAAGGAGGAGUUGGCAAUAAUUUAAAAGAACUAGACUUGAAAGCUAGUGGAGAGGCCCCAAGAUAGAAAGGUAAUUGGGGUUAAAUGGGUAUUUAGGACAAAACUAAAUCCUGAUGGUUCAAUAAACAAACACAAAGCAAGACUGGUUGUAAAAGGUUAUGCACAAGUUUGGGGUGUAGAUUUUUCUGAAACUUUUGCGCCAGUAGCCAAAUUGGAUAGCAUUAGAAUGUUUUUGGCUUUAACAACACAAAAGGGAUGGAAGACCUUUCAAAUGGAUGUGAAGGGUUCCUUCUUGAAUGGUAUACUCCAAAAAAAAAUUUAUGUUGAGCAGCCACAAGGUUUCAGUUUACUAAAAAAUGAAGAAAAAGUCUAUUUAUUGAAGAAAGCUCUCCACAGAUUGAAACAGGCUCCUAGAGCUUGGUACAACAAGAUAGAUGAACAUUUGCUCAACUUUGGCUUUGAAAAGAGUUUAAGUGAAUCAACUCUUUAUGUCAAGAGAGUUGGCUGUAACAUAGUUAUCAUUUCUCUUUAUGUAGAUAAUUUACUUGUUACUGGAAAUAAUGUUGUACAAGUUGAAGAAUUCAAGGAGAUGAUGAAGGUCUUUGAGAUGAUAGACCUUAGAGAGAUGACAUAUUUUUUGGGUAUGGAGAUUAAACAAAUGCAAAAUGAAGUCUUCAUUUGCCACAAGAAAUAUCUGAAGGAGAUUCUAAAAAGGUUUAAAAUGAAAGAAUGCAAGAGUGUGAAGACUCCUAUGAAUAAAAAGGAGAAGCUGCAUAAAGAAGAUGAAUCUUAACUUGUUGAUGAAGGAAUAUACAAAAGCUUAAUUGGAUGUUUAAUGUAUCUCACAGCAACAAGGCCAGAUAUCUUAUUUUCUGUGAGCAUUUUAUUUAGAUUUUUGAAUUCUGCUAGAGAGUUGCAUAUGAUGGCUAUUAAAAGAAUGCUUAAUUGAAGUUUGGAUAUGAGAUCCAAACUUGUUUUGUACUUUAUUAAUGAGGGGAAGGAUUCACUAAUUUUCUUUUUGAGCCAACAAGUUUGUUGGAUAUCUAAUAACAACGCUUGUUUUAUACUUUAAUAAUUUUUUUUUGUUUUCUAUGUUUAAAUAAUUUGUUCCAUUUCUAAUUCUUUUUCCAUGAAAAAUUUUGUACAAUUGGAGUAUGUUAUUAUUAAUUAAAAACUUAACAAAAAUUGUAGUGUUAGUUAAAUAUUGUUAGUAAAAAGUUAGAAUGACCCAAAAUAAAUCACUUUGUCAAGUAAAAAUAAGAUUAAAAAAAAGCUGAUGAUGAAAACUAUAAAAUAAAAUGAAUAGAAGAUGGCUCCAUGUGCUGCAUACUGAUGGAGUCUGUGUUAAGAAUGGAUCCCAAUGGGUUUUUCUAUUUUUUUUUUUUUGACUUUGACCAUGUGGACAGCCAUUGCCAAAUUAAUGUCAACUACAAAAAUGUGACAAGUAUAAAUAAAAGCAACGAAGGAGACGCCAAAGCUAUAAAAAUAAAACGAAUAGGAAAUGUGAAAACUAUAAAUAAACAACUGCCCAAUCAUUUUUUCAAGUAAAUUUGUCCGGUCAUUUGUGCACACCUCUGAACCCAGAAUUUUAUCAUGCAAGAAACACAGAUGGGUUGGCUACUCUAAUAUAUAUUGGUCUUGGGGUUUGGGUAUGCAGCAUGUUUCCGAUCUGAUUCCAUUAAAUUACCUUCACAUCACCAUUGUGAGGUCAGGCCUGUACUGGUGAAAUAGGCUAUACUAGCAGAUCAAGUAGUUGUCUUCCGUCAAGGUAUGUUCUUGCACUCUUUGGAUUUGUUUGUUUCCUCGGAAAAUAAGCUUGACUUUCCUUCUCCUCAGGCUAAUCCGGGUGCCCCAAGGAUCUUUCCUUGGUUACCAUUUGAAGUUUUCUUCGUUGCUUCCGUGUUUUUUACCUGCACCACUCUAGUUCUUGUUCACCGUGCUCCGUUUUUCAUUUAUCAAUUCUGAUUUUAGUAAAGUUUCCAUUUGUUUGGAUUGUGAGAUUGGCUUUGGAUGUGAUCUUUUUCAAUUAUCUCCAUGACAUAAUUUUGGGUUUAUCUGUAAAUUUGUUUUAUGGCUAAAAUCUAAUUUAAUCAAUCUUGAAUAUCAUUUUUAAUCAUGUUUAGGCGGAUAUUUAUGUCGAAUACGAAGUGGAGUGAGAGCUACAAUCAGCACAGUAUAUUUUACGUUGAAAAAGAAAAUUAUAUAGCUUUGGUAUAUCUACCUUAUUGCUCUAUUUCUAGUUCUGAUAUGAGUUUGAGAUACAGUUUUAAGAUAAUAAUACGUCACCAAAGGCAUAUACUCACAAACACACAUAAACAUACAAAAAAGUCUUGGAUACACAUUAUUGUGUGCUAUGGGUUAUAGGCUAACAUAAACUAUUAUAGACACUUACAGUUGGCAAAAAAUCAGUAUUUUACGAGUUAAUGCGUAGUAAUUUUCUUUUAUAGUUUUCUUUUAUCUUUAUUGCUCAGAUUCCAGUUUAGUGUUAUUUUAAAUUAUGUAUUAUCAAAUUAACAAAUUUGUGGGGAGAAGCUGUAAAAAUAAUUUGUUAUUGUAAAAAGGGAUGGAACACUUGUGCCAUGGUAGUCCAUUGAUGCUAACGGAGAUGGCUAUUGAAGAUGAAGUCUUGUGUCAAGGAUGUGGGAAGACCAUUUCAGGUCAGAGCUACGGUUGCAGUGAGCAUAAGUUUUAUCUGCAUAAAUCCUGUGCUGAGCUUCCCUUAAAGAUUAAGAGCAUCUUCCACUUAAAGUCGCCUUACUCUGCAUAAGGAUUACACUAAGGAUAGUGAAAAAAGUUGUAUAUGUUAUUGUUGUAAGAAACAUAUACCAGGUUUCAGAUACAGUUGUGACAAUUGUNNNNNNNNNNNNNNNNNNNNNNNNNNNNNNNNNNNNNNNNNNNNNNNNNNNNNNNNNNNNNNNNNNNNNNNNNNNNNNNNNNNNNNNNNNNNNNNNNNNNNNNNNNNNNNNNNNNNNNNNNNNNNNNNNNNNNNNNNNNNNNNNNNNNNNNNNNNNNNNNNNNNNNNNNNNNNNNNNNNNNNNNNNNNNNNNNNNNNNNNNNNNNNAAAGUAAUCAACUUCCGUCAUCCAUGUCCUAUGCUCCUGCGCAAGCUUCCCCCCAUACAUCUGUGGUAUUUGUAACCAAAUGCGUUCAGGUGUUGUAUUCCGAUGCGAGAAGUGUGACUUAAAUAUGGAUAUUGAAUGUGUUCUCCGUCACAAGACGAUUAAUCAUUUUAGCCAUGGACACCCAUUGACACUUUCUCACAAGAAAGAUGAUGAUGGUGCUUGCUGCAGAGCUUGUGGGAAGAAAUGCUCGGGUGCCACCUACUCUUGCAAUAGAUGCAGCUUUUGUUUACACGAAUCUUGCGGGGAAUUACAACGAGAGAUUCAUCAUGAACUUCAUGAACACCCUCUUACUCUCUUUGAUAAAUCAUUUCGAUGCGAUGCAUGCUUAGUGGAGUCCAAUGGUUUCACCUACAACUGCUCAUCGUGCAACUUCAAUCUCCAUGUUGAGUGCACUUCCUUGGCACCUUCUAUUAAAUAUGAAGGUCAUGAUGAGCAUCUUCUUACUUUUGUAAGUCAUGUUUAUGGGAAGCCUCCUUGCCAUGUGUGUGAUUCUAAAUAUUCUUGGGAUUAUAAAUAUUCUGGUGAUCCUAAAUAUUCUAAUAUUUCUAAAUAUUGUGGGGAUUCCUAUUUACGCUGUGUGAAGUGUGAUUUUAAUGUCCACCUCAUGUGUGUUCCGCUCCCUUGUGUAAUUGAACAUCCUUGCCACACUGAUCCUCUUGUUCUUAAAGAUUGUCAUAUAGACGAUGCUUCUGAAGGUCAAGAGUAUAUUUGCGACGUUCUUGAUUGUGAGCUGGAAAGAGAUCCUCGAGAAUGUGUUUAUUAUUGUGAAGAAUGUGACUUUGUAGCUCAGCUUGGUUGUGUUUUGGGAGAGGUAAUUACCGUCAUUAGUAAUUAUCAUCUAUCUCACUUCAUAUAUGCUUUUUGUUUAUGAUUAAAAGUAUGGGGGAAUAAUUUUCGUACAUGUUUGUCUGCCUUGCAGCUCUUGCCUCUAUUACAAGGAAAGUGUGGAAACGUGGAAUGGAAAAAAGUUGACAGAGAUGUUGCAGUUAAAUUACUGGAAAGAAAAUUCAUUUCCUUCAAUGACAUACUAAACUCUUUUGAUGAAGAUGAUAAGAAGGAAAUGGAUCAUGUUUUAUCAUCUUUUCGCAGGGAGCGUGACAUAAUCUUUAACAAUUCACCUGAGGACCAUUUGUCAAACUACGCCAAUAAUUUCUUUAAAUAUCAUUCAUAUUUGGACGAGGCUUUCUUCAGGUUUGCAGGCACAAUUGAGCCUAGAAUACCACUUGAGCUCACAAUCAAUGGAUUAGAGAUUGUCAAAGUUGGAAAUCAUGAGGUCACAAAACAAUUAAAACCUGUCUUAGAAAAGUUGAUUGAAAAAUAUGGUGAUUUCACCGCUGACUCCACUUUAAAAAGGCCCAAUGUCAAGACAUAUCACCUGGUUAUGUUUUGCCAUGUCGUACAUAGCAUGUGCAACACUAAGGUUAUGAAUAUCAAUGCAGAUUUACUGAGACAAUGGUGGAUUAACUGCAAAUUAGCACAGCGUGCUGGAUUCAAAAUUCAAUUUGCCUUUGAAAGUCUGAACAAAGUAGCAUAUGUUCGGUUUACCCUUGUAUCUGAAUUACAUGCAGGUGCCAUCCUUGAUCAAUAUGAUGAUCGAAUCACAGAGUAUUCUAAUCGGAUUAUGGAAUGCAGAAAACAAUUAGAGGAACUCAAAGAAAAGCGUGUGCAACAUGUAUCAUCUACUAGAUUCGCAGAAUCAAGUCAAGCGGAGGGAUUCUUGCGCGAAGCUUUGGCCUUGAGAUUGAAUACAGCAAUGGCUAAUAUGUUGUAAUCUAUGCAGACACCUGAAUUACUUUCAUGUUUAAGCAUUCAUAAUUCAAUUGCAUCCUUGUCAGGUCUUUUGAUUUGUUGUCCUUAUGAUGUAACUGGCAAUAAACAAGUUUCUGAGUUUAUCAAGACAAGAAAGCCUUACUUCGUCUUGCUUCCCAAAAAAUUCAUUUAAAACUAGAAAUUGAUUCUAAUUAGUUCAGAAAUCAGUUAUUAAUUUCAGGUAAUUGAUUGUGAUCACUUUUGCCAUAAUCCUACCUAUAUAUCUACAUUGAGUUAUUCAAGAUGAGAAUUUGUACAGAUGACUAGAAUGGGCGAGUAGUAACAGCUUGAAAUACAUGAAGUACUAAGCAAUUAUUUUGGCUCCUACGAAAUACAAACCUCUAUUCAAAUUUGGAAAGAAAAAGAAAACGAAAAAUGAACUAAAAAAUUAACAAAGACGUACUUAAGAAAUUAGCCCAAGUUCAUUAGCAGCUUAAGAAAUUUUUGUCUCCAUGUCCAUAUCUCUGACAUCCGCAGGAAGAAAAAGAAUAGCGUCCAGUGUCUACUUCAAAGAAAAUCAACUAUCACUUUUUUAAACUAAGUUCUAAUGGAGUGCCUUCUAAUGCGACAGAGACACCUAAAAGAACUAGAUAAACGUUUAAUAUAUCGUUAAUAAUAAUUAUCGCCUAUGUAAGAAAUGCAAAAAGAAAAUGCUUUUUAAGUAUUCCCUUUUACCCUAAGAUGACCCAGAUGCAAUUCUAGAAUCAUAUACGAAAUAUAACAUCUGGAAAGCGCAGUUACACUGGCACCAAUAACAAGUACCAAAUACACUACCAAUACAAAUUAAUCCCUUAAAAACUUGAAGAAAAAGUACUCAAUUCAAGCAACUCAAGCAGACAUUCAGAACAACUAAUACGUAAAGUAUACCAAUAUAAACAUAUGCAUAAUCCAGAAUUUGAAUUGGCAGUACCAGAGUUGGAGUCGGCGAGCCCGCUGAGCUUUACAGGUUCCUGUGAGGCGGGCUCCAAAAUAAGAGUUCGGCAACUUUGAUACUGACACCCAUGAGAAUCAUCAGGCAACUGAGGAUUUGAAUAGUGUGAUUUUAAGAAUCCAAAUACAAAGUGUUGAUUGAGAUUCUUCUUUCUGCACAUGGUAAGGACGACGUUUUGGCCCAUCGACCUUGUUAUGGCCCUUAAUGAUAGCAUUUUCACUUGAAAAAUAGGAAGCGCAACAAACAGCAUAUCGGAUAUUUGUGUGCAAGGCGUGAGGCCGAGGAAACGACCAUCCACGGUCCACCAACGAACCACUGCAUGAGAUAGAACAAACGACGUUAACAGGUUGGGAAGCCACAGAGCGGGGAGCACAGCCAGGUGCUCCCAAUCAUUGGGUCAGUCGCAAGCAGACAGGGAAGAUUGGGGAUUUAGCUGCGUUGGGUUGCUUUUUUAUUAUCAUUGUUAUUUGAAUUGGCUGCUGCGUUGAUCGGGCUUCGUCCCCAAGUAGCCUGAAAUUGAAAAGGCAGUGAUCCAUCCAUGGUCCUCUAGCAACGGUCAGGUAGAUAAACUCUACCCUGUGUUGGCUUAGAAACAGUGCAUUUAAAAAUUUUAUUUUGAUGAUUAAAAAGGGAUAGAUUAGAGAUGAAUAUUUAUUAAAAUUUAUUGAAAAAUUUUAAGUAUAUUCAUGAAUUUCUUUUUAGGAGCUAAAAAUAGAAUGAGAUAUUGUGGUGUUUAUUAAACUUUAUUUAAUUUUUUUAGAAUAUACUUAUCAUUUUUUGCAUCUGCGCGUCCUUACUUAGUAUAUUCAUGAAUUU